Molecule: long non-coding RNA, 360 nt
Filed under: Rattus norvegicus (Norway rat)
Lineage: Eukaryota; Metazoa; Chordata; Mammalia; Rodentia; Muridae
Description: long non-coding RNA NONRATT027495
Source: RNAcentral
AGUUAGGGAUUGGAGAGGGGAGAGGGCAGGCAGGAUACGGCCACCAACUGUGUGACCCACAGGCACAGCCGCGCCUUCUUGCACACCCUGCUGCACAGUGACAACACCGCAGCGCUGCACCACCUCACCGUGCACAACAUUGCCUAUCAGCUGCAGCUCCUGAGCGCCGCGCGCAGCAGUAUCUUGGAACAGCGCUUUCCCGACUUCGUGCGGAACUUCAUGCGGACCAUGUAUGGGGACCACAGCCUCUGUCCUGCCUGGGCCAUUGAAGCACUGGCCUCUGUGGGAAUCACACUCACAUGACCUGGUUGCUGGGGAAGGACGCUGGGGUACAGGGAAUAUUGAAGGACUCUUUUUUAC